AACCCUAACUAUAGAAUGAAGAACAACUCUAGGGUUUGAAACAUUACCUUUGGGUUCCAGACGGCGGCGAAGAAGAGGUAGACACGGCGGAGAGGAUGAACAGGCGUCGCUGAAGAAGCUCCAGAUACACGGCGACGAAGAACAGGCGUGGAUGAGAAGCUCCAGACGGCGGCGAAGAAGAUGAAGACACGACGGCAAGGAAAUGCUGAAGAAGUUCGAGCCGGCGGCGACCAGCUUCGGUAGUCGUCGGAUCGAGAGAGAAUAGGCGAAGAAGAAAGAAAU
This 282-nucleotide small RNA is filed under the name Arabidopsis thaliana (thale cress). Its description in RNAcentral is "ATSL096140". Lineage: Eukaryota; Viridiplantae; Streptophyta; Magnoliopsida; Brassicales; Brassicaceae. The record is from RNAcentral.